UUCCUGGUCCGACUUAAACCU
Molecule: non-coding RNA, 21 nt
Filed under: Caenorhabditis elegans
Lineage: Eukaryota; Metazoa; Nematoda; Chromadorea; Rhabditida; Rhabditidae
Source: RNAcentral